UCCCCCCUCCAAUCAGUGAAACUGAUCUCUCCGUGAAGAAGCGGGGAUACAAAUAUAAGACGAGAAGACCCCAUGGAGCUUUAAACCCAACAGCACCCGUUUAUUUUCAUCCUCACAUAAGUUAGGUUAUGCCUGUUUGGUUUUAGGUUGGGGUGACCACGGAGUAUAAAACAACCUCCAUGAAAAAAAGGACCAAAAAUCCUUAUUAGAGAAAGACAUUUCUAAAAUUAAUAAAUUAAUUUUUAAUGAUCCGAUAUUCGAUCAACGAACCAAGUUACCCUGGGGAUAACAGCGCAAUCCACUUCAAGAGCUCCUAUCGACAAGUGGGUUUACGACCUCGAUGUUGGAUCAGGGUAUCCUAGUGGUGCAGCAGCUACUAACGGUUCGUUUGUUCAACGAUUAAAACCCU
RNAcentral lists this ribosomal RNA (409 nucleotides) under Boophis elenae. RNAcentral's name for it is "partial 16S ribosomal RNA". It matches the Rfam family "Bacterial large subunit ribosomal RNA", at positions 2021 to 2597 of the family's 2925-position model. The record is from RNAcentral. Lineage: Eukaryota; Metazoa; Chordata; Amphibia; Anura; Mantellidae.